Molecule: non-coding RNA, 2192 nt
Organism: Aegilops tauschii subsp. strangulata
Lineage: Eukaryota; Viridiplantae; Streptophyta; Magnoliopsida; Poales; Poaceae
Source: RefSeq, a predicted model, not a curated record
CGAUUUUCCCUGUAUUGCAUCCAACAUGGGCUGGGCCACGAACGGUCGAUGGGUGGAGCCCCAAAUGGGUCGCCCCAGCCGCACGGAAGGCCAUGUUGUUUUUUCUGUUUCCUGUUCUCGUGUUUUGCUUUAUUUGUGUACUUUUCUAUAUAAUUUAAAAUAAAAUAUUAUAUAUAUACAUAUAUAUAUUGUUACUAUUCAUCAUCCAGGGUGCAGAAUAAGUUAUUUAUUCACCUGAGGUAAUCUUACGAUCAUUUCAUAAAUAAAUUACAUUUUAAAUACAAAUAGUUACAUUCAUAUUGAUUUCCUGCAUAAAAGUUGGCAUAACAAAAAAUAUAAGUCAAAAAUUGCAUUUUAUGUAUAUUUUGCACUAUGUUUUUACAUUUGUAAUUUUACGUAACAUAAAAAAUAUUUACGACAAUUAUAGGUUUUCUUACAUUCUCUUUUUUAUGUCUAAAAUAAGACAAAAUUUACGAAACAUAAAAUUGCGGUGUAUAGAUGAUAAAAUAGAGGUGGAUAAAGAAUAACUAUUCCGCACCCAGGGUGACAAAUAGUCAAGGGAUAAAAGCGCGAACCCAAUUGUAAUCCCUUGACUAUUUGUCACCUGGGUGGAAUAACCCCAGCCGUCCCUCGAACCAGACGCCACAGCUACGCGAGAAUAAAAGCGCGAACGUAAAUUUACCUCAUGAAUCGUAAAGUUACAUCAUGGGACCCCACGUAAAAAGAACACCGCGAGAUAAAUUUACCUCGUCUCUACUUCGAAUCAGGAGAAAACCAACUCCAUGGAUCGUGGGAGGGCUCUGCCGUUUUCCACGCCUCUCCUGCAGUCCACCAGCUCUACCCCUGAUUUGUCCAUCGUGCAGCAUGACGGUUCCCCGUAGACCAACGGAGCGGUUCGCUCUAUCCGGUGGCCCGGAGCCGGCUCCGGUGGCUUUGCAGAAGGGAAGAUGUCGUCUAGCCGGCGGGGUCCAGCUGAACUGAAGCAGCGGCGCCAAGUUGGGCCGCGAUCUCAGCGCCAGGGCGGCGCUCGGCGCAUCGACGCACUCCGCGAGCUCGAGCCAUUUUCAUGUCUCUCCUCUCCCAUCCUCACCUCCAUGAUUGGAUCUGGAUCCAAAGAUUCCAUCGGCUGCCGUUGAGUCGUCAUGGUCUAGGACUCCAUCACCACUACACAAUCACAUAUGGAGGCUACUGACUAACUUAUUUGUAGAAUAAAGAGGCCAAUAUAUUUAAUCUUUUUAGGUAUACUUUGGAUUUAAGAAGAAGCUUAAUCAUUGUUAUUUUAUAUAUUUGAUAGUUUUGACAUAAACUCUCUCACAUCUACUCAGUUGAUUUGAUUGGGAAGCUUAACGGUCUAUGCGCUACUCCCUACCACUGUACAGCAGUAUUUUUGGCAGUGUACUAUCCAAUUCUUAGCAUUCUUUUUUCUGGCAAUAACAAACACGGGAAGCCUUAUUUUGAUUUCUGCAAUGUUCAACAUGUUCAACUGGCCAAGAGAAGGAAUUCUUGUUCAACAUGUUCUCAACAUGUUGACUUGAGAUGUUCUCUUUGAGAAAUUAUUGACACAGAGAAGUAAUGACCUUUCUCCAGUUUUGCAUAUUAAGAACUAUUGUUUGCUAAUAUCUCAUCAAUCUUCUUUGAGACAAUUACAGUUUUGUAAAUUUCCAAAUUUAUUGGAGAAAAGAGAUCAAAUUUUUCUUCUCAUUCUCAUGCAGCUUCAGAUGUUUUACCCAUCAGCUUUUGCUAUAGGCUUUUGUACAUGUUAUCUUGCUUACAGCAAGAUCUGCAUCCUUGCAUUGUAGAUGGUAGUUGAACCAACUAAUUCAGUAUGAACUAAUAGUGCAGGGGUUUCUACAGAUGCAGCGCCACCAAGGAAUGUGUUGCGAGGAAGCACGUGUGGAGUGGUGGUGCUGCAACACCAAGAUGCUCGUGUCACCGACUAGAACAAGGCAACAAAAACAAUCAUAUGCAGUCACUCGACCUGUCGAUGCUUGCGCAAAUUCAGAAGCUUAACUGAAUCUGCCAAUGCUAGAAGAAGAUAGAAUAACUCUGAAUUUUUUUUUUUGCGGGGAGAAUAACUCUGAAUUUGUAUGCCAUAUAUGGAACAUGUCAUUCAUCCGAUUUUUGGUUAUUCAUCUGACAAAAUAUCUGGAUGCAAAUGAAAUUUUUAACAAGGCCAAGAUUUCACUGCCGUA